GGGAUAACUAUUGGAAACGAUAGCUAAUACCGCAUAACAAUGGAUGACACAUGUCAUUUAUUUGAAAGGGGCAAUUCGCUCCACUACAAGAUGGACCUGCGUUGUAUUAGCUAGUAGGUGAGGUAAUGGCUCACCUAGGCGACGAUACAUAGCCGAACCUGAGAGGGUGAUCGGCCACACUGGGACUGAGACACGGCCCAGACUCCUACGGGAGGCAGCAGUAGGGAAUCUUCGGCAAUGGGGGCAACCCUGACCGAGCAACGCCGCGUGAGUGAAGAAGGUUUUCGGAUCGUAAAGCUCUGUUGUAAGUCAAGAACGGGUGUGAGAGUGGAAAGUUCACACUGUGACGGUAGCUUACCAGAAAGGGACGGCUAACUACGUGCCAGCAGCCGCGGUAAUACGUAGGUCCCGAGCGUUGUCCGGAUUUAUUGGGCGUAAAGCGAGCGCAGGCGGUUUGAUAAGUCUGAAGUUAAAGGCUGUGGCUCAACCAUAGUUCGCUUUGGAAACUGUCAAACUUGAGUGCAGAAGGGGAGAGUGGAAUUCCAUGUGUAGCGGUGAAAUGCGUAGAUAUAUGGAGGAACACCGGUGGCGAAAGCGGCUCUCUGGUCUGUAACUGACGCUGAGGCUCGAAAGCGUGGGGAGCGAACAGGAUUAGAUACCCU
This 662-nucleotide ribosomal RNA is filed under the name uncultured bacterium. Its description in RNAcentral is "bacterial SSU rRNA". It matches the Rfam family "Bacterial small subunit ribosomal RNA", at positions 140 to 788 of the family's 1533-position model. The record is from RNAcentral.